Molecule: unclassified non-coding RNA, 374 nt
Filed under: Hevea brasiliensis (rubber tree)
Lineage: Eukaryota; Viridiplantae; Streptophyta; Magnoliopsida; Malpighiales; Euphorbiaceae
Source: RNAcentral
UUGAAGUUUCCGGUCUCCGUUGUUCGAAAUGAACUUCACUUACAUCUAAAUUCCUCUCAAGGCAUAGCCUAUAUUCAGCAUUACGCAAAGUAUAACCAGUCAUCAUUGAGGACACCAAUAACUUAGAAAGGGGAUCCCAAAAGGCUUCCACCAAUACAUGGAACUGAUCAGAGGGAAGUAGACCCAACAUGCCUGAAAUUGUCCUCUUCAUAGCAUCAACUGUAUCGGCGGGGACAUCUUUUUGGAUGAGACUAACAUCCAGAGGUUCUAUGUCUUGUAUCAAGUUUGAUAGAACUGACUUCUUUGACGUGCGGGAACGAGAUCGCCUGCCCUUGUCGAGCUCGUCGAAGGAGGAGGCGACGAAGACGAGCGCG